GCUCCACGUCCCUGCCCCUAUGCGAAGCCUGUAUGAAGAGGUCCUUCACGGAAUAAAGCGAGGCAAGAGGUCGUCUUCUGGGAGUUUGUACUACUAGUUGCAAAAUACAGGCCCUUUUUUGCACAACACUUCAAUCAAGAGUAAAAAUUCCAGACCUGCAUUUCUUUCAACAUGCACCUGCCUUAGAAGAUGCUUUCCUACAGAGGAGGAUGGUUGCUGAUUUCUUUUAGAAAUGCUUGAGAUGAAACCUAUGCAGAUUACAGCUUGUUGGGACAUGCCCUUCCCUCUACCAGGAACUCUACAGGAGAGAAAAAGAGAAGGACUCACUGAACUUCUACAUAGACUCUAAAUGACCAAAAUGAGACUAUCCAGAAUUCAAGAAUAUAGAUGAGCUCUACUUC
Molecule: long non-coding RNA, 401 nt
Filed under: Crocodylus porosus (Australian saltwater crocodile)
Lineage: Eukaryota; Metazoa; Chordata; Crocodylia; Crocodylidae
Description: lncRNA (ENSCPRG00005011862.1)
Source: RNAcentral